AGUGAACGCUGGCGGUAGGCCUAACACAUGCAAGUCGAACGGCAGCACAGUAAGAGCUUGCUCUUACGGGUGGCGAGUGGCGGACGGGUGAGGAAUACAUCGGAAUCUACUUUUUCGUGGGGGAUAACGUAGGGAAACUUACGCUAAUACCGCAUACGACCUACGGGUGAAAGCAGGGGAUCUUCGGACCUUUCGCGAUUGAAUGAGCCGAUGUCGGAUUAGCUAGUUGGCGGGGUAAAGGCCCACCAAGGCGACGAUCCGUAGCUGGUCUGAGAGGAUGAUCAGCCACACUGGAACUGAGACACGGUCCAGACUCCUACGGGAGGCAGCAGUGGGGAAUCUUGGGCAAUGGGCGCAAGCCUGAUCCAGCCAUACCGCGUGGGUGAAGAAGGCCUUCGGGUUGUAAAGCCCUUUUGUUGGGAAAGAAAAGCAGCAGGUGAAUACCCCGCUGUUCUGACGGUACCCAAAGAAUAAGCACCGGCUAACUUCGUG
RNAcentral lists this ribosomal RNA (492 nucleotides) under uncultured bacterium. RNAcentral describes it as "partial 16S ribosomal RNA". It matches the Rfam family "Bacterial small subunit ribosomal RNA", at positions 29 to 507 of the family's 1533-position model. The record is from RNAcentral.